UUAGUUAGAGCAAAAAAAAGAAAAAAGAAAAAAAAAUAUUUGGGGUUUUCGGGCUUCCUGAAGGUAAUACCCGGGUUUUAGGUUAUGGGGCUAGGGUAAGGUUUAAGGUUUUUGGAGUUAGGGUUAAAAUCACUGUCCACAAUCUUUGUAGGAAAGAGUUUCAGACCUUUUGGAGUUAGUUACAACAAAAAAGAUGUAAAAUGAAAAAAAUAUAUUUGGGGUGUUCGGGCUUCCUGAAGGUAAUACCCGGGUAUUAGGUAAUGGGGCUUUGGAAAGGUUUAAGGUUUUUGGCGUUAGGGUUAAUAUCACUGUCCAAAACCUUUGUAAGACUCUUUUCCAACCUUUUGGAGUUAGUGAGACCAAAAAAAAAAGGAAAAAUAAAAAAAAAGAUAUUUGGGGUUUUCGGCUUCCUGAAGGUCAUACCCGGGUAUUAGGUUAUGGGGCUAUGAUCAGGUUAAAGGUUUUUGGUGUGAGGGUUAAAUCACUGUCCAAAACCUUAGUAGGAACUCUUUUCCAACCUUUUGGAGUCAGUUAGACCCAAAAGAAAUGAAAAAUGAAAAAAAAAUAUUUGGGGUUUUCGGGCUUUCUGAGGGUAAUACCCGGGUAUUAGGUUAUGGUGCUAGGGUAAGGUUUAAGGUUUUUGUAGUCAGGGUUAAAAUCACUGUCCAAAACCUUUGUAGGAACUCUUUUCCAACCUUUUGGAGUUAGUUACCCCAAAAAAAUGAAGAAUGAAAAAAAAAUAUUUGGGGUUUUCGGGCUUUCUGAGGGUAAUACCCGGGUAUUAGGUUAUGGUGCUAGGGUAAGGUUUAAGGUUUUUGGAGUCAGGGUUAAAAUCACUGUCCAAAACCUUUGUAGGAACUCUUUUCCAACCUUUUGGAGUAAAUUAGACCUAAAAAAAACGAAAAAUGAAAAAAAAAUGUUUGGGGUGUUGGGGCUUCCUGAAGGUAAUUAGGUUAUGGGGCUUUGGUAAGGUUUAAGGUUUUUGGCAUUAGGGUUAAAAUCACUGUCCAAAACCUUUGUAGGAACUCUUUUCCAACCUUUUGGAGUUAGUUAGACCUAAAAAAAACCAAAAAUGAAAAAAAAAAUGUUUGGGGUGUUCGGGCUUCCUGAAGGUAGUAUUAGGUUAUGGGGCUUUGGUAAGGUUUAAGGUUUUUGACGUUAGGGUUAAAAUCACUGUCCAAAACCUUUUUAGGAACAUGUUUCAGACCUUAUGGAGGUAGUUACACCAAAAAAAAAUUGUAAAAUGAAAAAGAAAUAUUUGGGGUGUUAGGGCUUCCUGAAGGUAAUACCCGGGUAUUAGGUUAUGGGGCUUUGGUAAGGUUUAAGGUUUUUGGCAUUAGGGUUAAAAUCACUGUCCAAAACCUUUGUAGGAACUCUUUUCCAACCUUUUGGAGUUAGUUAGACCUAAAAAAAACGAAAAAUGAAAAAAAAAUGUUUGGGGUGUUCGGGCUUCCUGAAGGUAAUACCCGGUUAUUAGGUUAUGGGGCUAGGGUAAGGUUUAAGGUUUUUGGCGUUAGGGUUAAAAUCACUGUCCAAAACUUUUGUAGGAACUCUCUUCCAACCUUUUGGAGUCAGUUAGACCCAAAAGAAAUGAAAAAUGAAAAAAAAAUGUUUGGGGUGUUCGGGCUUCCUGAAGGUAAUACCCAGGUAUUAGGUUAUGGGGCUAGGGAAAGGUUUAAUGUUUUUGGCGUUAGGGUUAAAAUCACUGUCCAAAACCUUUUUAGGAACAUGUUUCAGACCUUAUGGAGUUAGUUACACAAAAAAAAAAAAAUUGUAAAAUUAAAAAGAAAUAUUUGAGGUGUUCGGGCUUCCUGAAGGUAAUACCCGGGUAUUAGGUUAUGGGGCUUUGGUAAGGUUUAAGGUUUUUGGCAUUAGGGUUCAAAUCACUGUCCAAAACCUUUUUAGGAACUCUUUUCCAACCUUUUGGAGUUAGUUAGACCUAAAAAAAAACGAAAAAUGAAAAAAAAAUGUUUGGGGUGUUGGGGCUUCCUGAAGGUAAUUAAGUUAUGGGGCUUUGGUAAGGUUUAAGGUUUUUGGCAUUAGGGUUAAAAUCACUGUCCAAAACCUUUGUAGGAACUCUUUUUUAACCUUUUGGAGUUAGUAAGAUCUAAAAAAAACCAAAAAUGAAAAAAAAAUGUUUGGGGUGUUCGGGCUUCCUGAAGGUAGUAUUAGGUUAUGGGGCUUUGGUAAGGUUUAAGGUUUUUGGCGUUAAGGUUAAAAUCACUGUCCAAAACCUUUGUAGGAACUCUUUUCCAACCUUUUGGAGUUAGUUAGACCCAAAAUAAAUGAAAAAUGAAAAAAAAAUAUUUGGGGUUUUCGGGCUUUCUGAAGGUAAUACCCGGGUAUUAGGUUAUGGGGCUAGGGUAAAGUUUAAGGUUUUUGGCGUUAGGGUUAAAAUCACUGUCCAAAACCUUUGUAGGAACUCUUUUCCAACCUUUUGGAGUUAGUUACACCAAAAAAAAAAAAAAAAUGUAAGAUGAAAAAGGAAUAUUUGGGGUGUUCGGGCUUCCUGAAGGUAAUACCCGGGUAUUAGGUUAUGGGGCUUUGGUAAGGUUUAAGGUUUUUUGGCAUUAGGGUUAAAAUCACUGUCCAAAGCCUUUGUAGGAACUCUUUUCUAACCUUUUGGAGUUAGUUAGACCCAAAAGAAAUGAAAAAUGAAAAAAAAAAUUGGGGGUUUUCGGGCUUCCUGAAGGUAAUACCUGGGUAUUAGGUUAUGGGGCUAGGGUAAGGUUUAAGGUUUUUGGCGUUAGGGUUAAAAUCACUGUCCACAAUCUUUGUAGGAAAAAGUUUCAGACCUUUUGGAGUUAGUUACAAAAAAAAAAUGUAAAAUGAAAAAAAUAUAUCUGGGGUGUUCGGGCUUCCUGAAGGUAAUACCCGGGUAUUAGGUAAUGGGGCUUAUGAAAUGUUUAAGGUUUUUGGCGUUAGGGUCAAUAUCACUUUCCAAAACCUUUGUAGGAACUCUUUUCCAACCUUUUGGAGUUAGUUAGACCUAAAAAAAACCAAAAAUGAAAAAAAAAAUGUUUGAGGUGUUCGGGCUUCCUGAAGGUAGUAUUAGGGUUAUGGGGCUUUGGUAAGGUUUAAGGUUUUUGGCGUUAGGGUUAAAAUCACUGUCCAAAACCUUUGUAGGAACUCUUUUCCAACCUUUUGGAGUUAGUUAGACCAAAAAAAAAGAAAAAAUGUAAAAUGAAAAAGGAAUAUUUGGGGUUUUCGGGCUUCCUGAAGGUAAUACCCGGGUAUUAGGUUAUGGGGCUUUUGUAAGGUUUAAGGUUUUUUGGCAUUAGGGUUAAAAUCACUGUCCAAAGCCUUUGUAGGAACUCUUUUCUAACCUUUUGGAGUUAGUUAGACCCAAAAGAAAUGAAAAAUGAAAAAAAAUUGGGGGUUUUCGGGCUUCCUGAAGGUAAUACCCGGGUAUUAGGUUCUGGGGCUAGGGUAAGGUUCAAGGUUUUUGGCGUUAGGGUUAAAAUCACUGUCCAAAACCUUUGUAGGAACUCUUUCCCAACCUUUUGGAGUUAGUUAGACCCAAAAGAAAUGAAAAAUGAAAAAAAAAUAUUUGGGGUUUUCGGGCUUCCUAAAGGUAAUACCCGGGUAUUAGGUUAUGGGGCUAGGGUAAGGUUUAAGGUUUUUGGCGUUAGGGUUAAAAUCACUGUCCAAAACCUUUUUAGGAACAUGUUUAAGACCUUAUGGAGUUAGUUACACAAAAAAAAAAAAAUUGUAAAAUUAAAAAGAAAUAUUUGAGGUGUUCGGGCUUCCUGAAGGUAAUACCCGGGUAUUAGGUUAUGGGGCUUUGGUAAGGUUUAAGGUUUUUGGCAUUAGGGUUAAAAUAACUGUCCAAAACCUUUUUAGGAACUCUUUUCCAACCUUUUGGAGUUAGUUAGACCUAAAAAAAAAGAAAAAUGAAAAAAAAAUGUUUGGGGUGUUGGGGCUUCCUGAAGGUAAUUAAGUUAUGGGGCUUUGGUAAGGUUUAAGGUUUUUGGCAUUAGGGUUAAAAUCACUGUCCAAAACCUUUGUAGGAACUCUUUUCCAACCUUUUGGAGUUAGUUAGACCUAAAAAAAACCAAAAAUGAAAAAAAAAUGUUUGGGGUGUUCGGGCUUCCUGAAGGUAGUAUUAGGUUAUGGGGCUUUAGUAAGGUUUAAGGUUUUUGGCGUUAAGGUUAAAAUCACUGUCCAAAACCUUUGUAGGAACUCUUUUCCAACCUUUUGGAGUUAGUUAGACCCAAAAUAAAUGAAAAAUGAAAAAAAAAUAUUUGGGGUUUUCGGGCUUCCUGAAGGUAAUACCCGGGUAUUAGGUUAUGGGGCUAGGGUAAGGUUUAAGGUUUUUGGCGUUAGGGUUAAAAUCACUGUCCAAAACCUUUGUAGGAACUCUUUUCCAACCUUUUGGAGUUAGUUAGACCCAAAAGAAAUGAAAAAUGAAAAAAAAAUAUUUGGGGUUUUCGGGCUUCCUGAAGGUAAUACCCGGGUAUUAGGUUAUGGGGCUAGGGUAAGGUUUAAGGUUUUUGGCGUUAGGGUUAAAAUCACUGUCCAAAACCUUUUUAGGAACAUGUUUAAGACCUUAUGGAGUUAAUUACACAAAAAAAAAUUGUAAAAUUAAAAAGAAAUAUUUGAGGUAUUCGGGCUUCCUGAAGGUAAUACCCGGGUAUUAGGUUAAGGGGCUUUGGUAAGGUUUAAGGUUUUUGGCAUUAGGGUUAAAAUCACUGUCCAAAACCUUUGUAGGAACUCUUUUCCAACCUUUUGGAGUUAGUUAGUUAGACCUAAAAAAAACGAAAAAUGAAAAAAAAAUGUUUGGGGUGUUGGGGCUUCCUGAAGGUAAUUAGGUUAUGGGGCUUUGGUAAGGUUUAAGGUUUUUGGCAUUAGGGUUAAAAUCACUGUCCAAAACCUUUGUAGGAACUCUUUUUUAACCUUUUGGAGUUAGUUAGACCUAAAAAAAACCAAAAAUGAAAAAAAAAUGUUUGGGGUGUUCGGGCUUCCUGAAGGUAGUAUUAGGUUAUGGGGCUUUAGUAAGGUUUAAGGUUUUUGGCGUUAAGGUUAAAAUCACUGUCCAAAACCUUUGUAGGAACUCUUUUCCAACCUUUUGGAGUUAGUUAGACCCAAAAUAAAUGAAAAAUGAAAAAAAAAUAUUUGGGGUUUUCGGGCUUUCUGAAGGUAAUACCCGGGUAUUAGGUUAUGGGGCUAGGGUAAAGUUUAAGGUUUUUGGCGUUAGGGUUAAAAUCACUGUCCAAAACCUUUGUAGGAACUCUUUUCCAACCUUUUGGAGUUAGUUACACCAAAAAAAAAAAAAAAAAUGUAAGAUGAAAAAGGAAUAUUUGGGGUGUUCGGGCUUCCUGAAGGUAAUACCCGGGUAUUAGGUUAUGGGGCUUUGGUAAGGUUUAAGGUUUUUUGGCAUUAGGGUUAAAAUCACUGUCCAAAACCUUUGUAGGAACUCUUUUCCAACCUUUUGGAGUUAGUUAGACCCAAAAGAAAUGAAAAAUGAAAAAAAAAAUUGGGGGUUUUCGGGCUUCCUGAAGCUAAUACCCGGGUAUUAGGUUUUGGGGCUAGGGUAAGGUUUAAGGUUUUUGGCGUUAGGGUUAAAAUCACUGUCCACAAUCUUUGUAGGAAAAAGUUUCAGACCUUUUGGAGUUAGUUACAAAAAAAAAAAUGUAAAAUGAAAAAAAUAUAUCUAGGGUGUUCGGGCUUCCUGAAGGUAAUACCCGGGUAUUAGGUAAUGGGGCUUAUGAAAUGUUUAAGGUUUUUGGCGUUAGGGUCAAUAUCACUGUCCAAAACCUUUGUAGGAACUCUUUUCCAACCUUUUGGAGUUAGUUAGACCUAAAAAAAAAGAAAAAAUGUAAAAUGAAAAAGGAAUAUUUGGGGUGUUCGGGCUUCCUGAAGGUAAUACCCGGGUAUUAGGUUAUGGGGCUUUGGUAAGGUUUAAGGUUUUUUGGCAUUAGGGUUAAAAUCACUGUCCAAAACCUUUGUAGGAACUCUUUUCUAACCUUUUGGAGUUAGUUAGACCCAAAAGAAAUGAAAAAUGAAAAAAAAAAUUGGGGGUUUUCGGGCUUCCUGAAGGUAAUACCCGGGUAUAAGGUUCUGGGGCUAGGGUAAGGUUCAAGGUUUUUGGCGUUAGGGUUAAAAUCACUGUCCAAAACCUUUGUAGGAACUCUUUCCCAACCUUUUGGAGUUAGUUAGACCCAAAAGAAAUGAAAAAUGAAAAAAAAAUAUUUGGGGUUUUCGGGCUUCCUAAAGGUAAUACCCGGGUAUUAGGUUAUGGGGCUAGGGUAAGGUUUAAGGUUUUUGGCGUUAGGGUUAAAAUCACUGUCCAAAACCUUUGUAGGAACUCUUUUCCAACCUUUUGGAGUUAGUUACACCAAAAAAUAAAAAAAGUAAAAUGAAAAAGGAAUAUUUGGGGUGUUCGGGCUUCCUGAAGGUAAUACCCGGGUGUGAGGGAGCUGGAAACCCCUCCCCUCACUGAGGUGAAGUCGGUACAAUACCUGACUAUUCAUGGACAUGGUUUUUGUUUAUUUUAUUGUUAAACACUGCUAACCUCUCCUCUCUUCGAGGUCACCAUCUUGUGGGGGCGUGUCCGCAUUGAGUGCACACAUGGGGAUGCAGCAAACAGGUCCCAGCAGUAGCAAAUCAGCUUGUUAGGCUGGGUUAGUGAGCAGAGAAAGGGGGAGGGGUAGAGUUAUUUAGUGGGAUUUAGCUUUAGUUUGGUCUGUUUCGGGUUAUUUAGCUAUUUUGGGUUAAUUUAUAUUCAUUUAUGUUCUUCCUAUUAAGUAUUAGGGUCAUUGUAUAUCCGGAUUAAGUUAGUUGUUAGAGGUCAGAUCUGCACAUACCUAUCACUGUCAUGCAGGUGAGAGAAAGAGGGAGGGGGGAGCAGGUGAGAGAGCCCCACUCAGCUUAAAAGUGGACACACCUGUGUGAGUGGGGAGAGGUGUGGGUGGCUUUCUGCAGCCUGCUACUCAGAGGAUGAUCAUUGUUAAGACUGCUGUGUGUGAUCACUUGGAUUUAUUAAAAAUAUCAGAGCUCUGAAACCUGCUGUCGGACACCAUCCUUUUUUCCUCAUGCUGGAGAUCUUCACUACCGCUUGGUUCCAUUCCGUUUAGAGGUUUUAUGACCAUCAAAACCUUACACCGGGUAUUAGGGUAUGGGGCUUUGGUAAGGUUUAAGGUUUUUUGGCAUUAGGGUUAAAAUCACUGUCCAAAACCUUUGUAGGAACUCUUUUCCAACCUUUUGGAGUUAGUUAGACCCAAAAGAAAUGAAAGAUGAAAAAAAAAUGUUUGGGGUUUUCGGGCUUCCUGAAGGUAAUACCCGGGUUUUAGGUUAUGGGGCUAGGGUAAGGUUUAAGGUUUUUGGCGUUAGGGUUAAAAUCACUGUCCAAAACCUUUGUAGGAACUCUUUUCCAACCUUUUGGAGUUAAUUAGACCUAAAAAAAACGAAAAAUGAAAAAAAAAUGUUUGGGGUGUUCGGGCUUCCUGAAGGUAAUACCCGGGUUAUGGGGCUUUGGUAAGGUUUAAGGUUUUUGGCGUUAGGGUUAAAAUCACUGUCCAAAACCUUUGUAGGAACUCUUUUCCAACCUUUUAGAGUUAGUUAGACCCAAAAGAAAUGAAAGAUGAAAAAGAAAUAUUUGGGGUUUUCGGGCUUCCUGAAGGUAGUACCCGGGUAUUAGGUUAUGGGGCUAGGGUAAGGUUUAAGGUUUUUGGCGUUAGGGUUAAAAUCACUGUCAAAAACCUUUUUAGGAACAUGUUUCAGACCUAAUGGAGUUAGUUACACCAAAAAAAAAAAUUGUAAAAUGAAAAAAAAAUGUUUGGGGUGUUCGGGCUUCCUGAAGGUAAUACCCGGGUAUUAGGUUAUGAGGCUUUGGUAAGGUUUAAGGUUUUUGGCAUUAGGGUUAAAAUCACUGUCCAAAACCUUUGUAGGAACUCUUUUCCAAACUUUUGGAGUUAGUUAGACCUAAAAAAAACGAAAAAUGAAAAAAAAAUGUUUGGGGUGUUCGGGCUUCCUGAAGGUAAUACCCGGGUAUUAGAUUAUGGGGCUUUGGAAAGGUUUAAGGUUUUUGGCGUCAGGGUUAAAAUCACUGUCCAAAACCUUUGUAGGAACUCUUUUCCAACCUUUUGGAGUUAGUUAGUCAAAAAAAAAACGAAAAAUGAAAUACAUUUUUUUUGGGUGUUUAGGCUUCCUAAAGGUAAUACCCGGGUAUUAGGUUUCGGGGAUAGGGUUAAAAUCACUGUCCAAAACCUUUUUAGGAACAUGUUUCAGACCUUUUGAAGUUAGUUAGACCAAAAAAAACGAAAAUUAAAAAAUAAACUUUGGGGGAUGUAGGGCUUCCUUUAGGUAAUACCUUCCUUUAGGUAUUAGGUUACAGUUUAAAGGUUUUUGGCGUUAGGGUUAAAAUCACUGUCCAAAACCUUUGUAGGAUCUCUUUUCCAACCUAUAAUAAUAAUAAUAAUAAUAUUAAUAAUAAUUUUGCUUAUUGAGAAGGACUAGGUGGUAUUAGUAGGGAGGGAAUAGGGUGAAUUUUUACCUAUAGGGUGCAUUAGUGCAAAGUCUCAGAGGAUGGGGGAGAGAGAAACAGGCUGUUGGGACUGCAACCAUUCUGCUUCUACAGGGAUUCGAGUGAUAGAGAGAGAAUCGAACUUGCCACAGUGACUAGCCAGAGAAACUCUCCUCACCUGUUGGUUUUCAUCCUCUGAUAUGAAAAAAGAGGGUGGGGGUGAUGAAGCUAAGAUAGAGGUUAGUAAGGUUAGGGUAAGGGUUAGGGGUUAGGGUUAGGGUUUAGAGGUUCGGGUUAGGGUAAGGGUUAGGGUUAGGGUUCGGGGUUAGGGUUAGAUUUAGGGUUUAGAGGUUAGGGUAAGGGUUAGGGGUUAGGAUUAUUUAGGGUUUAGAGGUUAGGGUUAGGGUUAGGCUAGGGUUAGGGUUAGGGGUUAGGGUUAGGGUGAGGGUAAGGGUUAGUGUCUGUAGGGAGCUAUCCGUGGCUAUUUGGAAGAAUUGAAAUUCAUUACGGAAUACAACACUUCAGAUUGUCUAGACUCUGGACUCUGUUGAAGGUAGCAAAGCUAUGGUUGGAAGUAAUGAAAUUGCAGUAUAAAAUAUAAGGCUAGUUAUAAAUUGUAAUUGUAAAGUAUUAUUUCAGAGUCAAAAGUGGACAGUUCCGUCUAGAACUCCUUCCACCCAGGCCUGUCUAGGCCAUGGACUCUGCUAAACUCCCUAACGCUGUGACCUAAAAAUUAUUUAGAUUAAAUUGGAAAUAUUUAUGAAUUGUUAUUUAGAAAUUAUUAAUUCAGAGUCAAAAGUGGAUGGUUCUGUCUGGAACCCCUUCCACCCAGGCCUGUCUAGGCCAUAGACUCUGCUAAACUCCAGAUCGCUGUAACCUAAAAUUAUUUUAGAUUAAAUCAGAAAUAUUUAUAAAUUAUUCUUCAUAAAUUAUUAUUCAGAGUCAAAAGUGGAUGGUUCUGUCUGGAACCCCUUCCACCCAGGCCUGUCUAGGCCAUAGACUUUGCUAAACUCCCUAACGCUGUGACCUAAAAUUAUUUUAUAUUAAAUUGCAAAUAUUUUUAAAUUAUUUCAAAAUUAUUUCAAAAUAUAUUAUUUCUUAUUUCAGAAUCAAAAGUGGAUGGUUCUGUCUGGAAGCCCUUCCAUUCAGGCCUGUCUAGGCUUUAGACUCUGCUAAGCUCCCUCAAGGCAGUGACCUAAGAUUAUUUUAGAUUAAAUUGGAAAUAUUUAUGAAUUAUUAUUUAGAAAUUAUGAAUUCGGAGUCAAAAGUGGAUGGUUCUGUCUGGAACCCCUUCCACCCAGGCCUGUCUAGGCCAUAGACUCUGCUAAACUCCCUAACGCUGUGACCUAAAAUUAUUUUAGAUUAAAUCAGAAAUAUUUAUAAAUUAUUCUUCAUAAAUUAUUAUUCAGAGUCAAAAGUGGAUGGUUUUGUCUGGAACCCCUCCCACCCAGGCCUGUCUAGGCCAUAGACUCUGCUAAACUCCCUAACGCUGUGACCUAAAAUUAUUUUAUAUUAAAUUGCAAAUAUUUUUAAAUUAUUUCAAAAUUAUUUCAAAAUAUAUUAUUUCUUAUUUCAGAGUCAAAAGUGGAUGGUUCUGUCUGGAAGCCCUUCCACUCAGGACUGUCUAGGCUUUAGACUCUGCUAAGCUCCCUCAAGGCUGUGACCUAAGAUUAUUUUAGAUUAAAUUGGAAGUAUUUAUGAAAUAUUAUUUAGAAAUUAUUAAUUAGGAGUCAAAAGUGGAUGGUUCUGUCUGGAACCCCUUCCACCCAGGCCUGUCUAGGCCAUAGACUCUGCUAAACUCCCUAACGCUGUGACCUAAAAUUAUUUUAGAUUAAAUCAGAAAUAUUUAUAAAUUAUUCUUCAUAAAUUAUUAUUCAGAGUCAAAAGUGGAUGGUUUUGUCUGGAACCCCUCCCACCCACGCCUGUCUAGGCCAUAGACUCUGCUAAACUCCCUAACGCUAUGACCUAAAAUUAUUUUAUAUUAAAUUGCAAAUAUUUUUAAAUUAUUUCAAAAUUAUUUCAAAAUAUAUUAUUUCUUAUUUCAGAGUCAAAAGUGGAUGGUUCUGUCUGGAAGCCCUUCCACUCAGGCCUGUCUAGGCUUUAGACUCUGCUAAGCUCCCUCAAGGCUGUGACCUAAGAUUAUUUUAGAUUAAAUUGGAAGUAUUUAUGAAAUAUUAUUUAGAAAUUAUUAAUUAGGAGUCAAAAGUGGAUGGUUCUGUUUGGAACCCCUUCCACCCAGGCCUGUCUAGGCCAUAGACUCUGCUAAACUCCCUAACGCUGUGACCUAAAAUUAUUUAAAAUUAAAUCAGAAAUAUUUAUAAAUUAUUCUUCAUAAAUUAUUAUUCAGAGUCAAAAGUGGAUGGUUCUGUCUGGAACCCCUUCAACCCAGGCCUGUCUAGGCCAUAGACUCUGCUAAACUCCCUAACGCUGUGACCUAAAAUUAUUUUAUAUUAAAUUGCAAAUAUUUAUAAAUUAUUUCAAAAUUAUUUCAAAAUAUAUUAUUUCUUAUUCAUGAGUCAAAAGUGGAUGGUUCUGUCUGGAAGCCCUUCCACUCAGGCCUGUCUAGGCUUUAGACUCUGCUAAGCUCCCUCAAGGCUGUGACCUAAGAUUAUUUUAGAUUAAAUUGAAAAUAUUUAUAAAUUAUUCUUUAUAAAUCAUUAUUCAGAGUCAAAAGUGGAUGGUUCUGUCUGGAACCCCUUCCGCUCAGGCCUGUCUGGGCCAUAGACUCUGCUAAAAUCCCUAACGCUGUGACCUAAAAUUAUUUUAGAUCAAAUCGGAAAUAUUUAUGAAUUAUUAUUUAUAAAUUAUUAUUCAGAGUCAAAAGUGGACGGUUCUGUCUGGAACCCCUUCCACUUAGGCCUGUCUAGGCCAAAGACUCUGCUAAACUCCCUUGUUUUAGAUGGAUAAGUUUUGAGUUAGGUGGAGAUUUUUUAUAUAGAUUAUGUAGGACCUAGGGUUCACUGUAAAUUAUUAUUUCAGAGUUAGAAAGUGAGAAGAAUUUUAGUUUAUUUAGGUAUUGGACUAUUUUAAAGUUGUCAUCCAUGGAAUCCAUGCGAUCCAAGUAAGGCUGGCUCCCAAAUUGU
This 11547-nucleotide long non-coding RNA is filed under the name Xyrichtys novacula (pearly razorfish). Lineage: Eukaryota; Metazoa; Chordata; Actinopteri; Labriformes; Labridae. The record is from RNAcentral.